RNAcentral lists this microRNA precursor (102 nucleotides) under Marmota monax (woodchuck). The record is from RNAcentral. Lineage: Eukaryota; Metazoa; Chordata; Mammalia; Rodentia; Sciuridae.
AAAGGAAUCCCCUGGGGACCUUGUUAGCCUGCAGGUUCUGAUUCAGUCUGGGGGAUGGGGUCCGGGAGCUGCAUUCCUAACAAGCUCUUAGGAUGUACCAAU